This is a long non-coding RNA of Triticum aestivum (bread wheat), 5657 nucleotides long. RefSeq lists it as uncharacterized. Lineage: Eukaryota; Viridiplantae; Streptophyta; Magnoliopsida; Poales; Poaceae. The transcript has 2 exons. The record is from RefSeq and is a predicted model, not a curated record.
CUUUUUUUCCCGUAGCCUCUCUGUCUUCUAGCCGCCACCGCUGCAUCAUCUGAUUCCGGCCGCCGCCUCGACCUUCUGCCUCCGCAAGCCUCCUCGGCAAACCGUCGCUGCUGUUCCGACCGCCGCCUCGCUGCAGUUCCGACCGCCGCCUCAACCUUCUGCCUCCACAAACGCCUCCUCGACGAACCCUAGCGGCAGCUCCAUCCUCUGGUGCGGAAUCCAGCGGUCAUUGGGAUCAUAUUCGUGGCUCCUCCGACCUGCAGCGCGCCCUCUGUGUGGUCUCUCUGUCUCAUCAUGCUCCCGUUGGGCUUGGUUACUACGGGAUCGUGCUAUGGCUGCCCUGCCACCACUACGGCUGCCACCACUACGGUUGUGACCGAACCACGUCGACGGCACAGGAAUGUACUCCGCCCCCUAACUAUCUUAUUCUGCUUUGUGUUGGAGCGAUUCUUCUUGGGCUUAAAUUUCCUAGGUACAUAAGCCAUGGUUCUGGUGGGAGGAAUAGCCUAUGUUUACUGAGGCAUUCUAGCGUUAGUGCUAAAGUAUGAUGCAAAUUGUACUUGCUCAGUAUCUCCCAAAAUUCUUUCCAUUAGUACAUCCUCCAUGUGUGCUACAAUUUGAUCUGAUCCGACUGCUACCCAUGUGUCGUGCUGCCUAGAUGUGCUCAUCAGCGAAGCUAUGAAUGCGAACAAAUCUUCAAUUUACUCUGGGCUCAAUUGAACCCACACUCUGUUGAUGCAGAAUUAUGCAACCUUAAUUCAAUGUUUUUUUAUCUAUUCUGUGAAUUUUUUGCUCUUAAGCAUGAUUUAUUGUAUAUGGAUCACAUACCCCAUACGCAUCUUUUUUUCCCUUGAGUUUAUCAUUCUGUAGGCCAUAUAUGCAGAUAAGGUAAUUUUCUUAUGUCGGAAGAUGAACCAUGUGUAGAUUGUAUAAAAAUAAGCACGAUUUGUUCUUCACUAUUUUGAAAUUUACCGGUGGCCGUGUCUAGCUAGGUACGUUGAUUCCAUGGUAAUGCACAAAUUUUCUACAAUAUUAUGCUUUGGCUGGGUAGUCUAAUCGGAUAACGCCAAGUCAAUCCUGUGUUUAGACAUAAUUAAGUGGGUGCCUGUUAUGUAAAGGAGAUAUUGGUGUCCGAUUCUUGAAAAGUAGUACAAACAGUAAAUGUACAAGGCAAAAAAAUGAUCAUAGAAGGGAGGAUUUUGAACCAAAUAUACUGAUAUUAUAGAUUGUAUAGCAUCACCCCUUAAUUUCACUUAAAUAGAGGGAUGAAUACCAUUAGUAUUUACUUCUAGGGCUACCUCAUAAUUGCAUGCAUGUUCUAUGAGUGCAAACACUAUUAGGGACACCUGAAUCCCUCGGUGGCCAUCCUAUCUUAGCUUUCCUUUUUGCCGACAUUCUAAUUUAUUCUCCGUACUAUAGUUUCACGUCUCCAUGUUGCUCGGCAUAUAAUUCGGUGUCCAUUCUAUUCAAUUUUGAGAAAAAAAAGAUCUUCUGUUGGAUAGGUGAAUUGGAGUGUGCUAAUUUCAUUUGGAAAUUAGUGAAAACUACAUUGAGACAUGGUGCAAGUGGAAGUGGGGACAAUGUUUUCUGUUAUCCAAAUAAAUAUUUGAUUAUUGGUACAAUCAUGAUAGAAAACUUACUACCAUAUGUUGCAAUUUCAGUCUCCAACCUCCUUCCAAGAGAUCUGCUAAAUAUUAUAACGAAUAGUUGGUGUUUAUGUGUUAUAUACACAGAGUAAAGGCGAUAGCAAAAUUGUUGAGUUGAGCUAAAAGUUUGUUGCCAGUAGCACUUUCAAAAAGGUACAAAAUUUUAAGAUAAUUGAACCAUUGAAAUUGUCAUCAUGGAUAUUCAAAAGUAAUAAAGGUACUUUCUUGCAUUCCGGCUGAAAGGUAUUCUUGCGAGCAUACCAUGAUACAAGUUGAACACAUGAUUUCUGUACACUUUCUUUGUUAGCUUGAUGUGGAAUACACUGAGAAAUUAGCAAGUUUAUCUCAUACUACCAUGCUAUCAGAACAAACCCUUUAAGUUCAAAACUAUUCACUUAUUUUCGUGUAUUCUGUCAUUCCAAAAAAUCUUUUUAAAAUUUAGCUUCCAGCAAAAGCAUGCUGCAAAUUUAGCGCAUUAGCCAAUUGAUAGAAGUUGGAAUAAGAGUGUUAUUUGCUGAGAUCACCUGCAAGAGCCGACGUUUAAUAUUUUCAUCUUAUGAUUGUGAUGUUGUUCAUGGAUGACUGAUUACGCAACAAUUGUUCAUCGUGUAUUGCUAUGCACUUUGGGCACACUGCAUUUGGAACCUUUUCCAUAAAUAUGAUUAACAAUUCAACAUGAUGGUCGACAUGAUUUUAUGAUUAGUUAUUAGCAUUGUAAAGUUUUUUCUCUCAUGGUCUGUAGAUUGUCCUAUUUAGUCUACGGAUUAGGAAGCAUACAUUUGUCUGUAUUAGUUCUGAUUAUUUGAAGGUACGAAUAACAUACAUGUGAAUCUUUUUUUCAGUCUAAUCUUUACAUCUCCGAACGAUUGUCUAUUCUGCUUCUAAUCACGAUGAUGUCAAAAAUCAGUGUGCAAAGUGUGUGUGCACUGGGGAUGAAAUAUUAUAACGUAUUUAAUAUACAUGCAUGCUUACACAUCUGAUCUAUGUAUCACGACAAGAUGUGGUCGACUUGGACAACAUCGUUACUUCUGAUGGGAUAGGUACAUGUUGAACUAGCUCCUUUUGUACGCUCUUACUGUUAAGCUACUAAUUAUUCCAUAGAAUUUCUCUCAUCAUCUGCUACAUAGAAUCAUGAAUUGGCGUAAAAGUUAUUUAUGGUUACGUGCAAGAUUAAGGUCUCAACACGAUGUCUGUAGGCCAGCAUGUAAAUAUGUUCUAUAGUUUUAUAUGAAUCAUUGGUUUUUAUUCAUCGGGUUUUCUUUGCGUAUCUACUAAUUCGAUGUUUGCAUGUUUGGUUAUAUUGGGGAAAUGUUACUCAAACAUAUUAAUUUAUUUAAUUCUUUCGAAGAGGGGCUAUCCCCGGCCUCUGCAACAUAUGAUGCACACAUCCAUUUUAUUAAGGAUAAACAUAUUAAUCUAUUGUUGUGGUAUAUUAUUUCGUAUUCUUAUCAGUCACUUAAUAUUAAUAUCAUUAGCUCAUGAUGGAUAUAGUUUACAUCAUGAACAUCAGUGCAUCAAGAUACUAAUGAGUUUGAUGUAUUGUAUUUCAUAGUUUUCUUUUACUUGAUCUCAACAUGAUCUAAUAAGGAAACUCAUUUAGUCUGACAUGUAAAAUGCAAGAAGGCACAAAAACUCAUUUUCUGCACUUAAGUUCCCAAAUAUCAGAAGUUUAACAUGUGAAACGCUCACAAAAAACUCUCCUGCUAGCACAGAUCAUAUCUUAGCAAAGAACCAGUAGCAACGUCAGCUCCAUUUAGUGUGCUGAUGACAUGUAUGUAUCCAUUGAUAUGGUUGACACUCACCGCAGUUAAUUGUUCCUCCACAUUAUAUAUGUACCAAUGUGACUAUAGUUUUAAAUAGAUGAAGUCCGUGAACAUCAUAUUUCAUAUAGGCCUCAUGGCGAUUUACAACAUUUCUAUAUUUUUCUUGUGUUUGGCUGUUAUUUUCUGAAAGAUGGUAGAAUUGUCUAUCAGAUCUUUCUCUUUCUCUCCAUGAUACAUGAUUUGGUUAAUUGUUUGACUAAAGGAUUUAUAGGGAAGAAAUGAUUUAAGGUGGGGCCUGUCAUUCGUUCCAAAUUGUAUAACUUGGUAUCUUCCAGUGGAUGGAUAAUGAAACAACAGAUGUAAGAAUACAUAUGCGUAUAUAUAAGCAUAACUUUUGAAUUUAUAUUUGAGCUCAUAGGUUAUUACUUAUCUUGAUAUAUGCCUGAAUUGGUGCUAUGCUGGUAUAAUUUGAUGUAAAUUUAUAUUCCCUUCUAUUCACUGAAGGGCUUACUAGGUAGGUAAUUCAUUUGACAUAUGCCUUGGGUUAAGCAUUCAAAUUGUGUUUGUUUGUAGGUUCAUUGAUGGUAGCAGUGUGAAAAUAAUAGUUGAAAAAAACUACUCCAUUUUAGAUGUCAUUGCAGUUCAAAUGAUUUAGUUCGCACUAACAUGGAGAAUAGUUAGGCCUCAAAUUUAAUUGCGGGAGUAACUACAUGUGCUUCACGGGCCUUAGUAUCAUUUCAUAUUUGGGACGGCAAUUUCAGGUCAGCUGCUCCUUCUAUGAGGUUUAUCGUAAGAAAAGUAUGCCGAUUCGAUGUACUACCUCCUUUUGGGUUUACGAGACACGCAUGUAUUUUGAGUUCAAGUAUUACCAUAGACUAGACAAGUAGUAUAGAUUACCAUCGAUUAUACAAGCAGUAUAAGACCCAAUAAAAUUGGAUAAAAGUUACUUCAUAUCCCAUAGAUCAUUUGCAUCCAUAAAAAAUAGGCAUGGUCUGCCUAGAAAAAUAAUUGACCUCUACAAAUAUUCGAAGGAUAACAUUCUUCUUACAAAGUAUCGCUCUAUUGUUAUUGAAUUUUAUCAUCGACGUGUUUGUUCAUUUCUCACUUUUCCUUUAUUAAUUUAUAUUUUACAAUGGCCAACCAAUGCUACUGAAACAUUACUUUACGUUUUUCAACAAAAUGGAGGUGCCCUGGGCUGAACUCAUUUGGGAUACAUACUAUGGUUCUUCGGCACCCCAAGCCACUAAGGCCUGUGGCUCUUUCUGGUGGCGCGAUGUGUUAAAAUUAUAUGACAAAUUUUGUCAGCUUUUUGUCCCAAAGGUUCAUUCUGGUGAACCUGUGCUUUUCUGGCUUGAUCAUUGGCAACUCCAGGGAAGAAAUACUCCCAUGAAAGAUCGUUGCCCCCGACUGCACUCUUUCGUGUUGGAUGACAUGCUUACUGUCAAACCCUCGAUGAUCUACCAUCCAUGGUCAGUAACCUGCACCUCCCUCUCUCCACUGAAGCCCGUCAUGAGUUGAUUCAGUUGGAGUCCAUCCUGUCAUCGAUAUCUAUCAAUGCUAAGGGCAAGGACAUUUUCCACUGGCCAACCAAAACUGGUGAAUUUUGAUCCAAGGUAUAUUAUAACUUUGCUCAUAGGCACAUUACUGUGGAUCCAAUUGUUAAGUGUAUAUGGAAGUGUUCCUGCACGCUCAAGAUCAAAGUCUUUGGUUGGCUACUCCUGGUGGAUAGGCUUAACACAAGAGAUAUGAUGCAAAGCCGACAUUGGACUAUGCAAGAUGAUACUUGUGGUGUUUGCCAGACUCUCACACAUGAGGAUCGAGCACAUAUGUUCUUUUUUUUAACUUCAGCCAGUUGGAAUUAUCUUGGGAUUACUUGGGCAUCAUAACCUAAUCAGUCAACCUAUUUGAUGGCGGCAGUAGCAAGGAAGGGUUUUGAUAGACCCUUCUUUAUUGAGGUGGUUUUUAAUGCCACUUGGAACAUCUGGACUCAGAGGAAUGGCAAAAAUCUUUAGAAAUGAGAGGCCAAGUUUUGGGGCUUGGAGAAGAAACUUUGUACAUGAUCUGUCUCUGUUAGCUCAUAGACUCAAAUGUAAUUAUAGGGAUAGCCUUCUAUCUUGGAUCUCUUCUCUUCCAUAGUUGGGUUUUUGUAAGCAUUACACCCCUCCCUUCUCUCUAUAUAUUGUACACUCUUUUUGUGCGGCUCUUGCCUUGCACUACAUAGUGAAAAAAUGGGAAUCUUCUAAGAUGA